GUGCUCGUAAAAAGGAAAGCUAGUUUGCAUCUCCCUCUACAAGGACGGAAUCAACCUUCUUGGGAGUGGACUAGCUGGCUGGGAAGCCUAAAUUGAUUAU
This 100-nucleotide non-coding RNA is filed under the name Solanum tuberosum (potato). The record is from RNAcentral. Lineage: Eukaryota; Viridiplantae; Streptophyta; Magnoliopsida; Solanales; Solanaceae.